RNAcentral lists this unclassified non-coding RNA (340 nucleotides) under Hevea brasiliensis (rubber tree). Lineage: Eukaryota; Viridiplantae; Streptophyta; Magnoliopsida; Malpighiales; Euphorbiaceae. The record is from RNAcentral.
AAAAAAACCCUCGUCUCCCUUCCCCUUCCACGAACUAUUCAAGAAAAUUAAUACACACACACAGCAGUUAAAGAUUAUUCUACACAGAUUCUUUUCUAUCAACAAUUUGACUAAUCUUUUCCCCGUCCAUAACUGCCAGAAAAGUCACGACAGAUCAAUGUUUUUUCAUCAUCAUGAAGCUAUUAAUCCUCAUUGACUACAUCCAAACCUACUUGAUGACUCGCACCAUGUGGCAGCUUUAGAGAGUACCACAUGGACAAAACAGGAUCAAACUAGAACCGAACCUAUCAUUGAACUGUUCCAAAACUGGCUGGAACUGGAAAAAUCCAGUCCAUUUCUG